RNAcentral lists this long non-coding RNA (308 nucleotides) under Monodelphis domestica (gray short-tailed opossum). RNAcentral describes it as "lncRNA (ENSMODG00000039286.1)". Lineage: Eukaryota; Metazoa; Chordata; Mammalia; Didelphimorphia; Didelphidae. The record is from RNAcentral.
AGAGGAAAACCAGCUUGAACCUGAACUGAUUUGUCUACUCCCCCAUCCUCCAAUCCCCUGAGAAGUUUCCCCUCAUCUUCUCUUUAUUCCUCUCUGAAAAAUCACAAACCUCAAAUUUAUCUGGAGUUUCAGCUGAUCCUGGAGACUGCAAUUUCAGGGAAAGGAACUGAACAACUAAGAUGAGUUGCUAGAAGCAAUUGAUCAACCUGACAAAUUUUAUGAAUUCUUAGCAGAGUAUAAGCUUUUAUUUGAAAACCUCUGUGAAUAAGACUUCUUUCCAUGGAGUGCAGAUGAGAUUUGCAUGUAUC